CAUAGAUUGAAACUAGGAGAAGAAAGGAGAAUUGGUAGGUAGAUCAACAGAGAUGACACAAUCAGAAGUGUAGAAAGAAAAUAGAAUAAAGAAAAAUAAAAGCUCAAAUCAAUGUAGUGAAGCAGGAGUGGCCGUGAGAAACAGACCUCUCAGACACUGAACUAGAAAGGAAGGCGUUUUACUAUUACGGCCCGGGAGCAAGGCUUUGUGUUUUGUCCAAAUGGCCAAGCUCCCCUAACAAGAGAAGCUCUGCCUUUAUAUAGGCUUACACUCUAGAUAUCACACGUGAAAGGAUCUUAGGUUUACAGCCUUAGAAAUUACAAGUGAAAGGGUCUGGGUUUACAGCUUUAGAAAUCACAUAUGAGGCUGGGUGCGGUGGCUCACGCCUAUAAUCCCAGUACUUUGGGAGGCCAAGUCAGGUGGAUCACGAGGCCAAGAGAUCAAGACCAUCCUGGUCAACAAGGUGAAACCCUGUCUCUACUGAAAAUACAAAAAUAGUUGGGCAUGGUGGCGUGCGCCUGUCUCCCCCUCAAAAAAAAAAAAAAAAAAAAAAAGGGAAAUCACAUAUGAAAGGGUCUUGGGUUUAUAGUUUUAGGAAUUACAUUUGAAAGGGUUCUGGUUUCCAGAUGGAGGAGUGGGGUGGGGGUUUAAUCUUGUUUAAGUAAAAACAAUGUCUUCUGGAGAGAAUCCCACAUAUCACGCCUGCUGUCUUAUAGGAAGGCAAUUCAGGAGGUACUGCCAGUAGCCUAGCCUUUUCUUCUGUUGAAAUGCAGUGUGGAGGUCAAGGGGGAGGUGAUCCCAGAUGCCUGUGUCUCCUUCCUCAGUAGAACAUCUUCAAGUGUACCAAAAUCUGGCUGGAGUUUGUAUGAGAGAGAGCAAUGUUUUCAAGUUGUAUUUUGCUUCCCAGCUGCUAUUUGUGCAGUCUACACUGAUGCACCAAAUAAAUAUCUAUUUAUAAAUCAGUUCCAUCCGAGAAAAAGUCAGAGACCAGUCAGGAGACUUCCACCCAAAGGCAACUGAAAAAAUACCCACAUUAAAUGGGUAAGUGAAGUCAAAGUAUACUAAGGCAUGGACCCCACACUGGGAACUUCAUCAUACAAUUGGGAAAGGAAUCUCCAAUACUCAGU
This 1127-nucleotide long non-coding RNA is filed under the name Callithrix jacchus (white-tufted-ear marmoset). RNAcentral's name for it is "lncRNA (ENSCJAG00000069831.1)". Lineage: Eukaryota; Metazoa; Chordata; Mammalia; Primates; Cebidae. The record is from RNAcentral.